UACGUAGGGUGCAAGCGUUAAUCGGAAUUACUGGGCGUAAAGGGCUCGUAGGCGGCCAACUAAGUCGGACGUGAAAUCCCCAGGCUCAACCUGGGAACUGCGUCCGAGACUGGAAGGCUUGAAUCCGGGAGAGGGAUGUGGAAUUCCAGGUGUAGCGGUGAAAUGCGUAGAUAUCUGGAGGAACAUCGGUGGCGAAGGCGGCAUCCUGGACCGGUAUUGACGCUGAGGCGCGAAAGCCAGGGGAGCAAACGGG
RNAcentral lists this ribosomal RNA (253 nucleotides) under uncultured bacterium. Its description in RNAcentral is "partial 16S ribosomal RNA". It matches the Rfam family "Bacterial small subunit ribosomal RNA", at positions 524 to 776 of the family's 1533-position model. The record is from RNAcentral.